RNAcentral lists this ribosomal RNA (253 nucleotides) under uncultured bacterium. RNAcentral's name for it is "partial 16S ribosomal RNA". It matches the Rfam family "Bacterial small subunit ribosomal RNA", at positions 524 to 776 of the family's 1533-position model. The record is from RNAcentral.
UACGGAGGGGACUAGCGUUGUUCGGAAUUACUGGGCGUAAAGCGCACGUAGGCGGAUUUGUAAGUCAGGGGUGAAAUCCCGGGGCUCAACCUCGGAACUGCCUUUGAUACUGCAAAUCUCGAGUCCGGAAGAGGUGAGUGGAAUUCCUAGUGUAGAGGUGAAAUUCGUAGAUAUUAGCUAGAACACCAGUGGCGAAGGCGGCCAACUGGUCCGGUACUGACGCUGAGGUGCGAAAGCGUGGGGAGCAAACAGG